Molecule: non-coding RNA, 84 nt
Organism: Podospora appendiculata
Lineage: Eukaryota; Fungi; Ascomycota; Sordariomycetes; Sordariales; Podosporaceae
Source: the annotation of a GenBank genome assembly
GGGCGUGUGGCUCAGUUGGUAGAGCGUUCGCUUAGCAUCUUCUCAAGUUGCGAAAGGUCCUGGGUUCGAUUCCCAGCCCGUCCA